This 252-nucleotide ribosomal RNA is filed under the name uncultured bacterium. RNAcentral's name for it is "partial 16S ribosomal RNA". It matches the Rfam family "Bacterial small subunit ribosomal RNA", at positions 524 to 776 of the family's 1533-position model. The record is from RNAcentral.
UACAGAGGUCUCAAGCGUUGUUCGGAUUCAUUGGGCGUAAGGGUGCGUAGGCGGCGCGGUAAGUCGGGUGUGAAAUCUCGGGGCUUAACUCCGAAACUGCAUUCGAUACUACCGUGCUUGAGGACUGGAGAGGAGACUGGAAUUUACGGUGUAGCGGUGAAAUGCGUAGAUAUCGUAAGGAAGACCAGUGGCGAAGGCGGGUCUCUGGACAGUUCCUGACGCUGAGGCACGAAGGCCAGGGGAGCAAACGGG